UGGGGAAUAUUGGACAAUGGGCGAAAGCCUGAUCCAGCCAUGCCGCGUGUGUGAAGAAGGCCUUCGGGUUGCAAAGCACUUUAAGCGAGGAGGAAGGUUCGUUACUUAAUACGUAACGGAAUUGACGUUACUCGCAGAAUAAGCACCGGCUAACUCUGUGCCAGCAGCCGCGGUAAUACAGAGGGUGCAAGCGUUAAUCGGAAUUACUGGGCGUAAAGCGCGCGUAGGCGGUUGCGUAAGUUGGAGGUGA
This 250-nucleotide ribosomal RNA is filed under the name uncultured bacterium. Its description in RNAcentral is "partial 16S ribosomal RNA". It matches the Rfam family "Bacterial small subunit ribosomal RNA", at positions 355 to 597 of the family's 1533-position model. The record is from RNAcentral.